RNAcentral lists this transfer RNA (85 nucleotides) under Felis catus (domestic cat). It matches the Rfam family "tRNA". Rfam says of the family: Transfer RNA (tRNA) molecules are approximately 80 nucleotides in length. Lineage: Eukaryota; Metazoa; Chordata; Mammalia; Carnivora; Felidae. The record is from Rfam by way of RNAcentral.
GCCUGAGUGACUCAGUCAGUUGAGCAUCUGACUUCGGCUCAGGUCAUGAUCUCACAGUUCGUGGGUUUGAACCCCACAUUGGGUU